RNAcentral lists this non-coding RNA (107 nucleotides) under Pectobacterium atrosepticum SCRI1043. RNAcentral's name for it is "Yersinia sRNA 224". It matches the Rfam family "Yersinia sRNA 224". The record is from Rfam by way of RNAcentral. Lineage: Bacteria; Pseudomonadati; Pseudomonadota; Gammaproteobacteria; Enterobacterales; Pectobacteriaceae.
GAUACUGAUGACAAAGCCUGCCGGGCGGUAAUAACGGAUAGAUCGUAAAGACGCUGUGAAUACAUCCCUGUACGCUCGAACCGCGACAUCCUUGUCGCGGACGCUUU